RNAcentral lists this ribosomal RNA (726 nucleotides) under Arthrobacter sp. NOB10. RNAcentral's name for it is "bacterial SSU rRNA". It matches the Rfam family "Bacterial small subunit ribosomal RNA", at positions 66 to 806 of the family's 1533-position model. The record is from RNAcentral. Lineage: Bacteria; Bacillati; Actinomycetota; Actinomycetes; Micrococcales; Micrococcaceae.
ACGAUGARGCCCUGCUUGCAGGGUGGAUUAGUGGCGAACGGGUGAGUAACACGUGAGUAACCUGCCCCUGACUCUGGGAUAAGCCCGGGAAACUGGGUCUAAUACCGGAUAUGACUUCCUACUGCAUGGUGGGUUGUUGAAAGAUUUAUCGGUGGGGGAUGGACUCGCGGCCUAUCAGCUUGUUGGUGAGGUAAUGGCUCACCAAGGCGACRACGGGUAGCCGGCCUGAGAGGGUGACCGGCCACACUGGGACUGAGACACGGCCCAGACUCCUACGGGAGGCAGCAGKGGGGAAUAUUGCACAAUGGGCGGAAGCCUGAUGCAGCGACSCCGCGUGAGGGAUGACGGCCUUCGGGUUGUAAACCUCUUUCAGUAGGGAAGAAGCGAAAGUGACGGUACCUGCAGAAGAAGCGCCGGCUAACUACGUGCCAGCAGCCGCGGUAAUACGUAGGGCGCAAGCGUUAUCCGGAUUUAUUGGGCGUAAAGAGCUCGUAGGCGGUUUGUCGCGUCUGCCGUGAAAGUCCGAGGCUCAACCUCGGAUCUGCGGUGGGUACGGGCAGACUAGAGUGAUGUAGGGGAGACUGGAAUUCCUGGUGUAGCGGUGAAAUGCGCAGAUAUCAGGAGGAACACCGAUGGCGAAGGCAGGUCUCUGGGCAUUUACUGACGCUGAGGAGCGAAAGCAUGGGGAGCGAACAGGAUAGAUACCCUGGUAGUCCAUGCCGUAAC